This 900-nucleotide ribosomal RNA is filed under the name Salmonella enterica subsp. enterica serovar Brandenburg. RNAcentral describes it as "partial 23S ribosomal RNA". It matches the Rfam family "Bacterial large subunit ribosomal RNA", at positions 644 to 1547 of the family's 2925-position model. The record is from RNAcentral. Lineage: Bacteria; Pseudomonadati; Pseudomonadota; Gammaproteobacteria; Enterobacterales; Enterobacteriaceae.
GGUUAACCGAAUAGGGGAGCCGGAGGGAAACCGAGUCUUAAUUGGGCGUUAAGUUGCAGGGUAUAGACCCGAAACCCGGUGAUCUAGCCAUGGGCAGGUUGAAGGUUGGGUAACACUAACUGGAGGACCGAACCGACUAAUGUUGAAAAAUUAGCGGAUGACCUGUGGCUGGGGGUGAAAGGCCAAUCAAACCGGGAGAUAGCUGGUUCUCCCCGAAAGCUAUUUAGGUAGCGCCUCGUGAAUUCAUCUCCGGGGGUAGAGCACUGUUUCGGCUAGGGGGCCAUCCCGGCUUACCAACCCGAUGCAAACUGCGAAUACCGGAGAAUGUUAUCACGGGAGACACACGGCGGGUGCUAACGUCCGUCGUGAAGAGGGAAACAACCCAGACCGCCAGCUAAGGUCCCAAAGUCAUGGUUAAGUGGGAAACGAUGUGGGAAGGCCCAGACAGCCAGGAUGUUGGCUUAGAAGCAGCCAUCAUUUAAAGAAAGCGUAAUAGCUCACUGGUCGAGUCGGCCUGCGCGGAAGAUGUAACGGGGCUAAACCAUGCACCGAAGCUGCGGCAGCGACGCUGAUGCGUUGUUGGGUAGGGGAGCGUUCUGUAAGCCUGCGAAGGUGGCCUGUGAGGGUUGCUGGAGGUAUCAGAAGUGCGAAUGCUGACAUAAGUAACGAUAAAGCGGGUGAAAAGCCCGCUCGCCGGAAGACCAAGGGUUCCUGUCCAACGUUAAUCGGGGCAGGGUGAGUCGACCCCUAAGGCGAGGCCGAAAGGCGUAGUCGAUGGGAAACGGGUUAAUAUUCCCGUACUUGGUGUUACUGCGAAGGGGGGACGGAGAAGGCUAUGUUGGCCGGGCGACGGUUGUCCCGGUUUAAGCGUGUAGGUGUGUGUUCCAGGUAAAUCCGGUU